RNAcentral lists this ribosomal RNA (492 nucleotides) under uncultured bacterium. RNAcentral describes it as "partial 16S ribosomal RNA". It matches the Rfam family "Bacterial small subunit ribosomal RNA", at positions 29 to 507 of the family's 1533-position model. The record is from RNAcentral.
AGUGAACGCUGGCGGUAGGCCUAACACAUGUAAGUCGAACGGCAGCACAGUAAAAGCUUGCUCUUACGGGUGGCGAGUGGCGGACGGGUGAGGAAUACAUCGGAAUCUACUUUUUCGUGGGGGAUAACGUAGGGAAACUUACGCUAAUACCGCAUACGACCUACGGGUGAAAGCAGGGGAUCUUCGGACCUUGCUCGAUUGACUGAGCCGAUGUCGGAUUAGCUAGUUGGCGGGGUAAAGGCCCACCAAGGCGACGAUCCGUAGCUGGUCUGAGAGGAUGAUCAGCCACACUGGAACUGAGACACGGUCCAGACUCCGACGGGAGGCAGCAGUGGGGAAUAUUGGACAAUGGGCGCAAGCCUGAUCCAGCCAUACCGCGUGGGUGAAGAAGGCCUUCGGGUUGUAAAGCCCUUUUGUUGGGAAAGAAAAGCAGCAGGUUAAUACCCCGCUGUUCUGACGGUACCCAAAGAAUAAGCACCGGCUAACUUCGUG